CGGCCCCUAAAAUCAGUGGCGNUGCCUGUCGGCUCUACGCGUAGUAAUACNCUCGCGUCUGGGUCCGGUAGGUCUACUUGCCAGCAACCCCCAAUUUUUACAGGUUGACCUCGGAUCAGGUAGGGAUACCCGCUGAACUUAAGCAUAUCAAUAAGCGGAGGAAAAGAAACCAACAGGGAUUACCUCAGUAACGGCGAGUGAAGCGGUAACAGCUCAAAUUUGAAAGCUAGCUCUUUUAGGGUUCGCAUUGUAAUUUGUAGAAGAUGCUUCGGGUGUGGCCCCGGUCUAAGUUCCUUGGAACAGGACGUCAUAGAGGGUGAGAAUCCCGUAUGUGACUGGGUGCUUUCGCUCAUGUGAAGCUCUUUCGACGAGUCGAGUUGUUUGGGAAUGCAGCUCAAAAUGGGUGGUAAAUUUCAUCUAAAGCUAAAUAUUGGCCAGAGACCGAUAGCGCACAAGUAGAGUGAUCGAAAGAUGAAAAGCACUUUGGAAAGAGAGUUAAACAGUACGUGAAAUUGUUGAAAGGGAAGCGCUUGCAACCAGACUUGCGCGUAGAUGAUCAUCCGAACUUCUGUCCGGUGCACUCUUCUACGCUCAGGCCAGCAUCGGUUUCGGUGGUGGGAUAAAGGCCUUGGGAAUGUAGCUCCUCUCGGGGAGUGUUAUAGCCCUCGGUGCAAUGCCGCCUACCGGGACCGAGGACCGCGCUUCGGCUAGGAUGCUGGCGUAAUGGUUGUAAGCGACC
Molecule: ribosomal RNA, 739 nt
Filed under: uncultured fungus
Lineage: Eukaryota; Fungi
Description: eukaryotic LSU rRNA
Rfam family: Eukaryotic large subunit ribosomal RNA (bases 106-739)
Source: RNAcentral